This 497-nucleotide ribosomal RNA is filed under the name uncultured bacterium. RNAcentral describes it as "partial 16S ribosomal RNA". It matches the Rfam family "Bacterial small subunit ribosomal RNA", at positions 28 to 523 of the family's 1533-position model. The record is from RNAcentral.
GAUGAACGCUGGCGGCGUGCUUAACACAUGCAAGUCGAACGAAGCACUUUUACAGAUUUCUUCGGAAUGAAGUUUUAGUGACUGAGUGGCGGACGGGUGAGUAACGCGUGGGUAACCUGCCUCACACAGGGGGAUAACAGUUGGAGACGGCUGCUAAUACCGCAUAAGCGCACAGUACCGCAUGGUACAGUGUGAAAAACUCCGGUGGUGUGAGAUGGACCCGCGUCUGAUUAGCUAGUUGGCAGGGCAACGGCCUACCAAGGCGACGAUCAGUAACCGACCUGAGAGGGUGACCGGCCACAUUGGGACUGAGACACGGCCCAAACUCCUACGGGAGGCAGCAGUGGGGAAUAUUUCACAAUGGGGGAAACCCUGAUGCAGCGACGCCGCGUGAGCGAAGAAGUAUUUCGGUAUGUAAAGCUCUAUCAGCAGGGAAGAAGAAAUGACGGUACCUGACUAAGAAGCACCGGCUAAAUACGUGCCAGCAGCCGCCGUAA